GUAGUUAGCCGUGGCUUCCUUCUCGGCUACCGUCAUUAUCUUCACCAAGAACAGAGGUUUACAAUCCGAAAACCGUCAUCCCUCACGCGGCGUUGCUGCAUCAGGCUUUCGCCCAUUGCCCAAUAUUCCCCACUGCUGCCUCCCGUAGGAGUCUGGACCGUGUCUCAGUUCCAGUGUGGCCGAUCAGCCUCUCAGCUCGGCUACCCAUCGUCGACUUGGUGGGCCGUUACCCCGCCAACUAUCUAAUGGGACGCGAGCCCCUCCUUCAGCGAAUUGCUCCUUUGACCCCUCUACCAUGCGGUAGCGUGGUCUCAUGCGGUAUUAGCAGUAAUUUCUCACUGUUAUCCCCCUCUGAAGGACAGGUUGCUCACGCGUUACUCACCCGUUCGCCACUAACUCAAGGAGCAAGCUCCUCUCGUCCGUUCGACUUGCAUGUGUUAGGCACGCCGCCAGCGUUCGUCCUGAGCCAUAAUCAAACUCUGA
RNAcentral lists this ribosomal RNA (483 nucleotides) under uncultured bacterium. Its description in RNAcentral is "partial 16S ribosomal RNA". The record is from RNAcentral.